AAAAGCAGCAGGUAAAAUGUUACAUAGCUAAUAAAAAAAUUCUAAUCAAAGCAUCCUAUGUCAAAACAGAGAUUAAAAAAAUAGAGACGAAAAUGAAGCCUUACAACCAAGCUGACCACGCUUUAAGCAUAUUCAUAUUCAUCUAUAAAAUACUAAAAGCAAAAUUAUAGUGUUAAAAACUGUCAAGGCAUCCACUGACUAAGAAACCAACAAAAAACUGCAUAUCUUGUGAUUAAAUACUGCAAUGGCAUUCAUGACUGAGUACCUAAGGCCUAAUAUAUAUAUGCAACUAUAACCAACAACAUUCUAGAAAUGUAAACCAAAUUGAAGGAAUGAGCAAUUUAAUCACUCAUAAGGCAAGAAGCCAUGUUUCAGGGAACAAAGUAUAAUGAGAUUUCACCAUUUUCCAAACACAAAACACCAGCAGCAAUGAUGUCACAAUAAUUUUAUUGCUCUGCAAAUAAAAGUUCUGGAAGCAAAUUAGAAGAUUAGAUCCAACAUUUUCAAACCCAACAUCACUACAGAAGCAAACAAGACUAUAAUUCACUUAGCAUGCAAUAAAAAUUUAAAAAAUCAAAACUUUGAAACAGAUAACAGCUCAAGCAAGGAGGGAGAAAGGCAAACAUAGGGAAAUCAUUGCCAAGAAAUUCACAUAAAAAACUAGUUUUUAAACCAAAAGCAUAAAAACCCAAAA
This 694-nucleotide unclassified non-coding RNA is filed under the name Hevea brasiliensis (rubber tree). Lineage: Eukaryota; Viridiplantae; Streptophyta; Magnoliopsida; Malpighiales; Euphorbiaceae. The record is from RNAcentral.